RNAcentral lists this ribosomal RNA (253 nucleotides) under uncultured bacterium. Its description in RNAcentral is "partial 16S ribosomal RNA". It matches the Rfam family "Bacterial small subunit ribosomal RNA", at positions 524 to 776 of the family's 1533-position model. The record is from RNAcentral.
UACGUAGGGACCAAGCGUUGUCCGGAAUCAUUGGGCGUAAAGCGCGCGUAGGUGGCUUCGUAAGUCCGUUGUGAAAGUCAAAGGCUCAACCUUUGAAAGCCGAUGGAUACUGUGAAGCUAGAGUACGGAAGAGGCGAGUGGAAUUCCUGGUGUAGCGGUGGAAUGCGCAGAUAUCAGGAGGAACACCAAUAGCGAAGGCAGCUCGCUGGGACGUUACUGACACUGAGGCGCGAAAGCGUGGGGAGCGAACAGG